Molecule: ribosomal RNA, 460 nt
Filed under: uncultured bacterium
Lineage: Bacteria
Description: partial 16S ribosomal RNA
Rfam family: Bacterial small subunit ribosomal RNA
Source: RNAcentral
CCUACGGGAGGCAGCAGUGAGGAAUAUUGGUCAAUGGACGAGAGUCUGAACCAGCCAAGUAGCGUGAAGGAUGACUGCCCUAUGGGUUGUAAACUUCUUUUAUAAAGGAAUAAAACGAGGCACGUGUGCCUUUUUGCAUGUACUUUAUGAAUAAGGAGUGGCUAACUCCGUGCCAGCAGCCGCGGUAAUACGGAGGAUCCGAGCGUUAUCCGGAUUUAUUGGGUUUAAAGGGAGCGUAGAUGGGUUGUUAAGUCAGUGGUGAAAGUUUGCGGCUCAACCGUCAAAUUGCAGUUGAGACUGGCAGUCUUGAGUGCAGGUGAGGUAGGCGGAAUUCGUGGUGUAGCGGUGAAAUGCUUAGAUAUCACGAAGAACCCCGAUUGCGAAGGCAGCUUACUAAACUGUGACUGACAUUGAUGCUCGAAAGUGUGGGUAUCGAACAGGAUUAGAUACCCUUGUAGUC